GCCCCCGCGCCCAUACGACUGUGGAUCUAGAACGCCGCGAACACCGGUGGAGAAAAAAAUCUCAAUGUUCAUCUGAUCCUUUUUCCUGCGGAUUUGGGGAAUCGGCGGCGGUCGUGAACAACUGGAAUCGCAAGUAUAUCCACCGUUCUUGAUUUGUGAGAAAAUUAUAUUUCCCUUUGGUUUCUUUUGGGCGAUAUCUUUGUGGUUUCUUGAGGGCACUAGGCGGACUAGAUACAUUGCGGAUGUCUUCCUGAGAUUAGCUUUAGAGCGCAUGCAUCUUUGUGUUGAUUGUGAUCGAUUUUCUGGGGAGAAUUGCUUCCUUCCUUGUAGCCUUGUGCAUUGCUAUUGUUGUUCUUUCUCUUUUCUUUUUAAUUUUUGAUAUAAUUUUCCUCUACUUUUCUUCUGUUGCUCUAUCUUUUCGCUCUCGUUUGAUCAAAAUCUUUAUGUCUGAUUAUCAUAGAAAUAUGAAUUGAUGUAAAGAACUAAAGAAGAUGAUUUCUUCUAUAAAAAUGUAGCUUAAUGUUGCUAUGCUGUGUAGCAUUACAUUCAGGGAUCAUGUUGCAUAAGUAAUUCUUUGGCCAGCAUAUGCAGGUACCCGUAUCGUCCCGGCCUGAUUUAUCUUAUGACAUUAAUGGAGCCCAAGAGUGGGAGCUGUAUCCAUCUUCUUGCAUUGCUGCAGAGGUCAUCGACUACACACCAAUUUCCGUAGAAGGCAAUGAUCAAAAUAGAGACUUGACAGUCUCGCUGAAUACCAUUCUCCCUGCUGAUCUCUUGGAGAAAGUCAUCUCCUUGUUACCUGUUGUGAGUGUCAUAAGAUCUGGAUCAGUCUACUGGUCGAGGACGAUGUGCUUGCCGAUGGGGAGGCCCUUUGUUGCAGUUCCCUUUCUUGCAGGACGACGGUAGCAUGCUCAGCGCAUCCCGCCCUGCUCUUCUUGUGGCUGAAUCUUCGAGUGUGCUCAGUGCAUCCCAGCGUGCCCUGAGUGUGCUCUCUCUCUCUCUUCUGUCACCGUUGCUGCAUCCUCCCUCCCCUGCCGGAACGUCUGAUAUGAUAAUCCCAUGUUUCAGGAUCAUGUGAGGACCAGUACUUACAGAAAUGCUAUCAUGCAUCACCAAGAUCUAAUCUCAGGCAAGGUUGUUUUGGAUGUGAACUGUGGCACUGGUGUUCUUUCCAUAUUUUGUGCUUUUGCUGGUGUUCCGUUUAAGGAAACUAAAUAUGUGGCAAUGACAAACACCAUCAGCACCCAUGUUUACUCUUUUUGUGUUUUGAAGAGUAUUUCUAUUUGUUACAGAGAAAUUUGACUUUAUCUUUUGUUAGAACACAUGUAGUAUUUUGUUUAAUACUAAGAGUUCUCUUUUUCAUGAGUGCUGUAAAUUGUUCUUAAGUUUUCUAUAUAUUGUGAUUUAUUUCCUGAUUCAAAUGAAAGAUUUUCCUUUUUCAUUCAUUUAUAAUUCAUCUCCUUGAAUGAGUUUAUUAUGUUUUCAGGUUUAUGCAAUCGAUGCAAGUGAUAUUGCAUUGCAGGUAGAUCCUUCUGACUCCCUCUACUCCCUUCCAAAU
Phragmites australis (common reed) is the source of this 1555-nucleotide long non-coding RNA. RefSeq lists it as uncharacterized. The record is from RefSeq and is a predicted model, not a curated record. The transcript has 3 exons. Lineage: Eukaryota; Viridiplantae; Streptophyta; Magnoliopsida; Poales; Poaceae.